Molecule: RNA transcript, 4821 nt
Organism: Vitis riparia (riverbank grape)
Lineage: Eukaryota; Viridiplantae; Streptophyta; Magnoliopsida; Vitales; Vitaceae
Gene name: histidine kinase 1
Exons: 14
Source: RefSeq, a predicted model, not a curated record
AAAAGGAGGGAGGUGUGGAUGAGGAAUAAGACCACACCCUCACUUUGGAACAUUGCAAACAAAUGUGCCUUCAUAAAGUGGGAAAUGACACCAGCAGUAAAAUAAACCACAAACCCAAGAAUUCUCUCUUUCUCUCUCUCUCUUUCUCUCUCUCUCUCAAACAUUGUUGCUAAUCAUAUACUGGAAGCUCGUUUCAUUUUCAUAGUCCCGAAAGAAGGUGUGGCAGAGAAAGCAAAUAGAACCCACCCUGUAAGUUUUGAAUCUCCACCGUCUCCAACAGAGCCAAUGGGAUCACACCUGAGAAGGGUCUUCAACAGAAUCUCUGGUUUUGUCACUCCUUGGAGAAGAAACCAAGCUCCUCAUGGUCGAAGAAUUUUCCAUAGGGAAGUCCAACAAGAAGAAUUCCAGUAUCCAAGUAACAGUUGUCUCUCAUCCUACUACAGUGUCUUCGUUGCUCGCCUUGCUAUCAUGGUCAUGCUAGCUAUUUUAAUUGGACUGCUAACAAUCUUGACAUGGCACUUCACAAGGAUCUAUACAACGAAAUCCAUAAACAGCUUAGCUUACGGCCUUCGCUAUGAACUUCUACAGCGUCCCAUAUUAAGAAUGUGGAACAUCUUGAAUUCUACUGUUGAAAUAACAACAGCCCAGGUUAAGCUGUCAGAGUAUGUAAUCAAACGGUAUAGCAAACCCACUACUCAAGCACAACAAGUUGAGCUGUAUGAAGUGAUGAGGGAUGUAACAUGGGCACUAUUUGCAAGCCGUAAAGCUCUCAAUGCGAUAACCAUAAACUACAGGAACGGUUUUGUCCAGGCUUUUCAUAGAGAUCACAGGAGUAACAAUACAUUCUACAUCUUCUCUGAUCUUGUCAAUUAUUCAAUCAGUGGGUCUUACAAUUCCAAUACACUGUCAUCUCAUCAAGGGUGGAAUGAUCAAUCCAUACACAGUAACAUUUCAGCAAUUUGGUAUCAUGUGCCACUAGAUCCUGUAUCUGGUGAGAGAAUAGGAAAGCCAAAAGCGAUCCCUCCAGAUGAUCAAAUCAACAUUGCAGGCCUAUCACAAGUUCCUGAUGGUGUAGCUUCCUGGCAUGUAGCAGUUAGCAAGUAUACAGAUUCACCGUUACUUUCAGCAGCAUUGCCAGUUUGGGAUCCAUCCAAUCAAAGUAUAGUGGCUGUUGUCGGUGUCACAACAGCACUCUAUAGUGUCGGCCAGCUGAUGAAAGAACUUGUGGAAGUUCACAGUGGGCACAUUUAUUUGACCUCUCAAGAGGGAUAUUUACUAGCUACUUCAACAAAUGCUCCUUUGUUAACAAAUUCAUCAACUGGGCCGAAGCUUAUGCUGGCUAUCGAUUCUGAGGAUCGAGUCAUACGCUUGGGAGCUGAGUGGCUCCAAAGAACCUAUGGCUACAAAUUUCCUUCAAGUCAUGUGGUUCACGUGGAGAAUGCCAAGCUUGGUCAUGAGCAUUAUUAUAUUGACUCGUUUUUUCUAAAUUUAAAGAGACUUCCCAUGGUGGGGGUUAUCAUCAUUCCAAGAAAAUACAUAAUGGGGAAGGUCGAGGAGAGAGCCCUCAAAACAUUGAUCAUACUAAUAUCUGCAUCUCUGUGUAUUUUAGUCAUUGGAUGUGUUUGCAUUUUGAUAUUGACAAAUGGAGUGUCAAAAGAAAUGAAACUAAGAGCAGAGCUGAUAAGCCAUCUUGAUGCAAGAAGGCGGGCUGAGGCAUCAAGCAACUAUAAAAGCCAGUUUUUAGCAAACAUGAGUCAUGAACUGAGAACACCUAUGGCUGCAGUGAUUGGGUUGCUGGACAUUCUUAUAUGCGAUGAUUGUCUCACAAAUGAACAAUAUGCAACAGUUACCCAGAUUCGUAAAUGCUCAACUGCUCUACUCCGACUUCUAAACAACAUUUUGGACAUCAGCAAGGUGGAAUCUGGGAAACUGGUUCUGGAAGAUGCUGAAUUUGACUUGGGACGAGAACUUGAAGGACUCGUUGAUAUGUUCUCUGUGCAGUGCAUUAACCACAAUGUGGAGACUGUUCUAGAUCUCUCAGAUGAUAUGCCAAAGUUAGUUCGAGGAGACUCUGCUAGAGUUGUUCAAAUAUUUGCAAAUCUAAUCAGCAAUUCUAUCAAGUUUACAACAUCGGGUCACAUUAUUCUGCGAGGAUGGUGUGAGAAUUCAAAUGCCUAUGGUAACUCUGGGAAGUUUCCCCUCAAUCAGAAGGCAUCACGAUCUGCACUUAAAGCAAAGUUCAAGCAACAUCGGAACCAUGCCAAGAGGGCUUGCAAGAAAAACAACAAGAUGACUCUUUGGUUUGAAGUGGAUGACACUGGCUGUGGAAUUGAUCCAAGCAAAUGGGAGUCAGUAUUUGAAAGCUUUGAGCAGGCUGACCCCUCAACAACUCGAACUCAUGGUGGCACCGGUCUUGGCCUAUGCAUUGUUCGAACUUUGGUUAACAAGAUGGGUGGAGAAAUCAAGGUUGUGAAGAAGAAUAGUCCAGGGACUAUAAUGCAACUCUACUUGCUUCUCAAUACACCUAUAGAGGGAGCAGGACAGCAUUGUCAACUAGAAUUUGGGGAGCAUAGCCUAGUAGUACUGCUUGCACUAAGUGGUAGUAUGGGUAGGUUGAUUAUGUCCCAGUGGUUACGGAAGAAUGGUGUGUUCACUUGGGAAGCAUCAGAAUGGAAUGAACUGACUCAAAUUCUGGGGCAACUUUUUCGAGCCAGAAGUUCAGUUCCUAAUGGUGGCCUUGUUAUGCAAUGUUUACCAAGUGAACCUUUGAAAACUGAAGCACCAAACAUACAAGACACAAGGGCCUCAGUUUUUGUCAUAAUUGUUGACAUAGGGCUACUGGACUGGAGCACAGAUAUAUGGAGGGAACAGCUUAACUUCCUUGACAAAUACCAUGGAAAAGCAAGGUUCGCAUGGAUACUAAACCAUGAUACUUCCAAUUUCAUAAAGAUGGAGCUCCGCAGGAAAGGGCAUUUAUUAAUGGUUAAUAAACCAUUAUACAAGUCAAAAGUGGUGCAUAUUUUGGAAGCUGUCAUAAAGGGGAGGGAUCUUGAAAUGCAAGGGAGAAUUUUGAAUGGUUUGAAAAGUACAAGAAUAGAAGGUGAUUUGCAUGAAUCUCUUGAAAUUGAUUCUACCCAUUUUGAGGAGGUUCCCAGCUCUGAUGAUUCUGAUAGGUCUGAAAUGGGUAGUCAUAAGUCUGUCAAUGCAUAUCAUAUUGCAGAAAAACAAAAAGACAGGAUCAGAAAACCUUGUCCAUCGCAAUACCAGACAGCUAACAGUUGUUUAGUUGAAUUUACUCAAGUAUAUUCAACAGAAAAUAAUUUGAGGACAGAGGAUCCACAUCAAGUAAGGCCAAAUUCACAUGAUGCUGGAAAUGAAGGACACAAGUUGAUAUGCAACAAGAGCACAUCCCCUUCAACAGAAGCUGAAUGUGAAAAUUGUAGAGGCCAAGAACAACAUUUGAUCAGCACUUGUCCGAAAGAGCGUGGUAAUUCUUAUUCAGGAAAGACUGUGAAUGGACAGAAAUCUCUAGAAGGCUUACGAAUACUGCUUGCUGAAGAUACGCCAGUUCUCCAGAGAGUCGCAACCAUAAUGCUUGAAAAAAUGGGAGCAACAGUCAUAGCUGUAGGAGAUGGACUGCAGGCAGUAGAUGCUUUGAAAUGUAUGCCUGGUGCAGAGGAGAGUAGAGGGAAAUGUCUUUUACAAGAUGGCAGAACAAGGUGUCAAACGCAAAUCCAUGAUUCCCUGCCAUAUGACUUGAUCCUAAUGGAUUGUCAAAUGCCCAAGAUGGAUGGUUAUGAAGCAACAAAAACAAUAAGAAAGUCAGAAGAGGGAACAAGUUUGCACAUUCCCAUUGUUGCACUGACAGCCCAUGCAAUGUCAUCAGAUGAAGCCAAAUGUUUGGAGGUUGGUAUGGAUGCUUAUCUUACAAAGCCAAUUGACUACAGGCUGAUGGUGUCUACCAUUCUUUCACUUACAAAAAGAAUGGCCUAACUUUGUUUUGUCACAGUCAGCACAACUGCAUAAUCACACUAGCAAUAGCUAACAAGCUGCAGGCUUAGGCAGCACGCCAAUGUAUUAAAAAACGAAAGGGCAUAAUAGUAGACAGAAAAUAAUCCAAUUUUCCUUUUUUGUCUUGAUGGGAUAAGGAUGGUGUAACUGGCAUAUGGCAAUGCAAGAUUUGAAAUCUUUGUACGGUUGUACUUCCUUAGUUGGUUCUUCGUGUCCUCCUACAGAUGAGUGCAGCUUCCAGUUUGUAUAUGACUGUACACUAGCGUAUCAACCAGAGCAUUCUGGGUAGACUGCAGGAACAAGACUGCUUUAAUUUUUUGAGGGUAGGAUGCUUUCUGAAAUGUGGGAAUUGGUGGGAGUUAAUGCAGACAGAGCUUGACCAAGUGCAGCUCAGAGAUGGGUGAUUAGUUUCCAAGGCCAUAAACUGAUCUAAAUCUGGCCAGGAACUGACCAGCUAAAUGAAGUUUAUUUAACCCUGUAGGUUUAUGUAGCUUUAUUGUUGAUCCAAAUGGAGGAGAUUGUGACACCAUAACACCAUGAAUCGAAUUUGUUUUUAAGGCUGUAACUAAUAGUUCAUGCAGGAAUUGAGGCCUAAUGGUGAAUAGAAGGAAUUCUGGGAACAACUUGCUGUUGAAAAGGAAAAUUCACUGUUAAUACUAGUUGAGGAUUUUGAUUAGAAUAUGGAUGUUGUAUGAACCUGGUUCCAGUUCCAGGAGCUCUAUUUCAUUUCUUCUCAUCUUCUGUGUUUUGGUGCAAACUCAAACUCUCUUGAAUUCUAUAGCAAAAAUGAAAGACUUCUCCUGUUCUUCA